CAGCCGCCGCGGGAAUACAGAGGGUGCAAGCGUUAAUCGGAAUUACUGGGCGUAAAGCGCGCGUAGGUGGUUUGUUAAGUUGGAUGUGAAAUCCCCGGGCUCAACCUGGGAACUGCAUUCAAAACUGACUGACUAGAGUAUGGUAGAGGGUGGUGGAAUUUCCUGUGUAGCGGUGAAAUGCGUAGAUAUAGGAAGGAACACCAGUGGCGAAGGCGACCACCUGGACUAAUACUGACACUGAGGUGCGAAAGCGUGGGGAGCAAACAGGAUUAGAUACCCCGGUAGUCCCUGUCUCUUAUAC
This 301-nucleotide ribosomal RNA is filed under the name uncultured bacterium. Its description in RNAcentral is "partial 16S ribosomal RNA". It matches the Rfam family "Bacterial small subunit ribosomal RNA", at positions 509 to 807 of the family's 1533-position model. The record is from RNAcentral.